Molecule: ribosomal RNA, 594 nt
Filed under: uncultured bacterium
Lineage: Bacteria
Description: partial 16S ribosomal RNA
Rfam family: Bacterial small subunit ribosomal RNA
Source: RNAcentral
UGGGGAAUAUUGCACAAUGGGCGCAAGCCUGAUGCAGCCAUGCCGCGUGUGUGAAGAAGGCCUUCGGGUUGUAAAGCACUUUCAGCGAGGAGGAAGGUGGUGAGCUUAAUACGCUCAUCAAUUGACGUUACUCGCAGAAGAAGCACCGGCUAACUCCGUGCCAGCAGCCGCGGUAAUACGGAGGGUGCAAGCGUUAAUCGGAAUUACUGGGCGUAAAGCGCACGCAGGCGGUUUGUUAAGUCAGAUGUGAAAUCCCCGGGCUCAACCUGGGAACUGCAUUUGAAAACUGGCAAGCUAGAGUCUCGUAGAGGGGGGUAGAAUUCCAGGUGUAGCGGUGAAAUGCGUAGAGAUCUGGAGGAAUACCGGUGGCGAAGGCGGCCCCCCUGGACGAAGACUGACGCUCAGGUGCGAAAAGCGUGGGGAGCAAAACAGGAUUAGAUACCCUGGUAGUCCACGCUGUAAAACGAUGUCGAUUUUGGAGGUUGUGCCCUUGAGGCGUGGCCACCGGAGCUAACGCGUUAAAUCGACCGCCUGGGGAGUACGGCCGCAAGGUUAAAAACUCAAAAUGAAUUGACGGGGUCAUAGCUGUUUCCU